AGUCUGCAACUCGACUACAUGAAGCUGGAAUCGCUAGUAAUCGCGAAUCAGCAUGUCGCGGUGAAUACGUUCCCGGGUCUUGUACACACCGCCGUCACACCAUGGGAGUUGGUAACGCCCGAAGCCAGUGACCCAACCGGAAACGGAGGGAGCUGUCGAAGGUGGGACCGAUAACUGGGGUGAAGUCGUAACAAGGUACC
This 200-nucleotide ribosomal RNA is filed under the name uncultured bacterium. Its description in RNAcentral is "partial 16S ribosomal RNA". It matches the Rfam family "Bacterial small subunit ribosomal RNA", at positions 1302 to 1500 of the family's 1533-position model. The record is from RNAcentral.